GCCAAGUUGAAAUUAUUUUACAAAAAAUGAUGAUAACAAAUGUUUAUUUAAUAAUUGAGUCUUGAUUUGUAAUCAAUAGGUCCGCGGUUCGACUCCGUGCGGGGGCACCA
This 110-nucleotide transfer RNA is filed under the name Candidatus Pelagibacter sp. RNAcentral describes it as "tRNA-Ser". The record is from RNAcentral. Lineage: Bacteria; Pseudomonadati; Pseudomonadota; Alphaproteobacteria; Candidatus Pelagibacterales; Candidatus Pelagibacteraceae.